Molecule: ribosomal RNA, 497 nt
Filed under: uncultured bacterium
Lineage: Bacteria
Description: partial 16S ribosomal RNA
Rfam family: Bacterial small subunit ribosomal RNA
Source: RNAcentral
GAUGAACGCUGGCGGCGUGCCAAAUACAUGCAAGUCGAGCGAACAGAUGAGGAGCUUGCUCCUCUGACGUUAGCGGCGGACGGGUGAGUAACACGUGGAUAACCUACCUAUAAGACUGGGAUAACUUCGGGAAACCGGAGCUAAUACCGGAUAAUAUAUUGAACCGCAUGGUUCAAUAGUGAAAGACGGUUUUGCUGUCACUUAUAGAUGGAUCCGCGCCGCAUUAGCUAGUUGGUAAGGUAACGGCUUACCAAGGCAACGAUGCGUAGCCGACCUGAGAGGGUGAUCGGCCACACUGGAACUGAGACACGGUCCAGACUCCUACGGGAGGCAGCAGUAGGGAAUCUUCCGCAAUGGGCGAAAGCCUGACGGAGCAACGCCGCGUGAGUGAUGAAGGUCUUCGGAUCGUAAAACUCUGUUAUUAGGGAAGAACAAAUGUGUAAGUAACUAUGCACGUCUUGACGGUACCUAAUCAGAAAGCCACGGCUAACUACGUG